RNAcentral lists this ribosomal RNA (87 nucleotides) under Clostridioides difficile. RNAcentral describes it as "partial 16S ribosomal RNA". It matches the Rfam family "Bacterial small subunit ribosomal RNA", at positions 1447 to 1533 of the family's 1533-position model. Lineage: Bacteria; Bacillati; Bacillota; Clostridia; Peptostreptococcales; Peptostreptococcaceae. The record is from RNAcentral.
AAGAAGUCGUCGAAGGUGGAAUCAAUAACUGGGGUGAAGUCGUAACAAGGUAGCCGUAUCGGAAGGUGCGGCUGGAUCACCUCCUUU